UGGGGAAUAUUGGACAAUGGGGGGAACCCUGAGCCAGCCAUGCCGCGUGUGUGAAGAAGGCCUUAUGGUUGUAAAGCACUUUAAGCGAGGAGGAGGGUACUGGUAUUAAUACUACCAGCUACUGGACGUUACUCGCAGAAUAAGCACCGGCUAACUCUGUGCCAGCAGCCGCGGUAAUACAGAGGGUGCGAGCGUUAAUCGGAUUUACUGGGCGUAAAGCGUGCGUAGGCGGCUAAUUGAGUCGGAUGUGAAAUCCCCGAGCUUAACUUGGGAAUUGCAUUCGAUACUGGUUAGCUAGAGUGUGGGAGAGGAUGGUAGAAUUCCAGGUGUAGCGGUGAAAUGCGUAGAGAUCUGGAGGAAUACAGAUGGCGAAGGCAGCCAUCUGGCCUAACACUGACGCUGAGGUACGAAAGCAUGGGGAGCAAACAGG
Molecule: ribosomal RNA, 430 nt
Filed under: Pseudomonadota bacterium
Lineage: Bacteria; Pseudomonadati; Pseudomonadota
Description: Proteobacteria bacterium partial 16S ribosomal RNA
Rfam family: Bacterial small subunit ribosomal RNA
Source: RNAcentral